GACGAACGCUGGCGGCGUGCUUAACACAUGCAAGUCGAACGGAAAGGCCCUGCUUUUGUGGGGUGCUCGAGUGGCGAACGGGUGAGUAACACGUGAGUAACCUGCCCUUGACUUUGGGAUAACUUCAGGAAACUGGGGCUAAUACCGGAUAGGAGCUCCUGCUGCAUGGUGGGGGUUGGAAAGUUUCGGCGGUUGGGGAUGGACUCGCGGCUUAUCAGCUUGUUGGUGGGGUAGUGGCUUACCAAGGCGUUGAUGGGUAGCCGGCCUGAGAGGGUGACCGGCCACAUUGGGACUGAGAUACGGCCCAGAGUCCUACGGGAGGCAGCAGUGGGGAAUAGUGCACAAUGGGCGGAAGCCUGAUGCAGCAACGCCGCGUGCGGGAUGACGGCCUUCGGGUUGUAAGCCGCUUUCGCCUGUGACGAAGCGUGAGUGACGGUAAUGGGUAAAGAAGCACCGGCUAACUACGUG
RNAcentral lists this ribosomal RNA (468 nucleotides) under uncultured bacterium. RNAcentral describes it as "partial 16S ribosomal RNA". It matches the Rfam family "Bacterial small subunit ribosomal RNA", at positions 28 to 507 of the family's 1533-position model. The record is from RNAcentral.